Molecule: ribosomal RNA, 384 nt
Filed under: uncultured eukaryote
Lineage: Eukaryota
Description: partial 18S ribosomal RNA
Rfam family: Eukaryotic small subunit ribosomal RNA
Source: RNAcentral
CAAUAGCGUAUAUUAAAGUUGUUGCAGUUAAAAAGCUCGUAGUUGAAUUUGUGAUGUGUCCAGUCGGCCUUUGCUCUUUGAGUGAUUGUGCUGUUAUUGGUCCGUCAUGUUUGGGUGGAAUCUGUGUGGCAUUAGGUUGUCGUGCAGGGGAUGCCCAUCGUUUACUGUGAAAAAAUUAGAGUGUUCAAAGCAGGCUUAUGCCGUUGAAUAUAUUAGCAUGGAAUAAUGAUAUAGGACCUUGGUACUAUUUUGUUGGUUUGCGCACUAAGGUAAUGAUGAAUAGGGACAGUUGGGGGUAUUUGUAUUCCAUUGUCAGAGGUGAAAUUCUUGGAUUUUUGGAAGACAAACUACUGCGAAAGCAUUUACCAAGGAUGUUUUCAUUAA